Molecule: ribosomal RNA, 392 nt
Filed under: uncultured bacterium
Lineage: Bacteria
Description: bacterial SSU rRNA
Rfam family: Bacterial small subunit ribosomal RNA
Source: RNAcentral
CCACCUUUGACAUGUACGGAAUUCGCCAGAGAUGGCUUGUGCUCGAAAGAGAACCGUAACACAGGUGCUGCAUGGCUGUCGUCAGCUCGUGUCGUGAGAUGUUGGGUUAAGUCCCGCAACGAGCGCAACCCUUGUCAUUAGUUGCUACAUUUAGUUGGGCACUCUAAUGAGACUGCCGGUGACAAACCGGAGGAAGGUGGGGAUGACGUCAAGUCCUCAUGGCCCUUAUAGGUGGGGCUACACACGUCAUACAAUGGCUGGUACAAAGGGUUGCCAACCCGCGAGGGGGAGCUAAUCCCAUAAAACCAGUCGUAGUCCGGAUCGCAGUCUGCAACUCGACUGCGUGAAGUCGGAAUCGCUAGUAAUCGUGGAUCAGAAUGUCACGGUGAAUA